This 189-nucleotide ribosomal RNA is filed under the name uncultured marine bacterium. RNAcentral's name for it is "partial 16S ribosomal RNA". It matches the Rfam family "Bacterial small subunit ribosomal RNA", at positions 338 to 524 of the family's 1533-position model. The record is from RNAcentral.
CCUACGGGAGGCAGCAGUGAGGAAUAUUGGACAAUGGAGGCAACUCUGAUCCAGCCAUGCCGCGUGAAGGAUGACUGCCCUAUGGGUUGUAAACUUCUUUUAUAUAGGAAGAAACAGUUUCUCGUGAGAAACCUUGACGGUACUAUAUGAAUAAGCACCGGCUAACUCCGUGCCAGCAGCCGCGGUAAU